ACCUGGCUAGCUCAGUCAGUUGAGCAUGAGAUUCUUAAUCUUGGCAUCAUGAGUUCAAGCCCCAUGUUGGGUG
Molecule: transfer RNA, 73 nt
Filed under: Felis catus (domestic cat)
Lineage: Eukaryota; Metazoa; Chordata; Mammalia; Carnivora; Felidae
Also listed under: 4 other names
Rfam family: tRNA
About the family: Transfer RNA (tRNA) molecules are approximately 80 nucleotides in length. Their secondary structure includes four short double-helical elements and three loops (D, anti-codon, and T loops).
Source: Rfam by way of RNAcentral